AUACGGAGGAUGCAAGCGUUAUCCGGAUUUAUUGGGUUUAAAGGGUGCGUAGGCGGUUUGCUAAGCGGGAGGUGAAAUGCCGGCGCUCAACGUCGGAAGUGCCUCCCGAACUGGUGGACUGGAAUGACUCUGCCGUGGGAGGAAUGUGUAGUGUAGCGGUGAAAUGCUUAGAGAUUACACAGAACACCGAUUGCGAAGGCAUCUCACGAAGGGUUGAUUGACGCUGAGGCACGAAAGCGUGGGGAUCAAACAGGAUUAGAUACCCUGGUAGUCCACGCAGUAAACGAUGAUGGCUAACCGCUGGUUUAUUCGGAUCAGUGGCCAAGCGAAAGCGAUAAGCCAUCCACCUGGGGAGUACGACCGCAAGGUUGAAACUUAAAGGAAUUGACGGGG
This 393-nucleotide ribosomal RNA is filed under the name uncultured bacterium. Its description in RNAcentral is "partial 16S ribosomal RNA". It matches the Rfam family "Bacterial small subunit ribosomal RNA", at positions 523 to 918 of the family's 1533-position model. The record is from RNAcentral.